RNAcentral lists this ribosomal RNA (1269 nucleotides) under metagenome. Its description in RNAcentral is "SSU rRNA". It matches the Rfam family "Eukaryotic small subunit ribosomal RNA", at positions 507 to 1774 of the family's 1831-position model. The record is from RNAcentral.
AAUUGGAAUGAGAACAACGUAAAUCCCUUAGCGAGUAUCCAUUAGAGGGCAAGUCUGGUGCCAGUAGUUGUGGUAAUUCCAGCUCUAAUAGCGUAUAUUAAAGUUGUCGCAGUUAAAACGCUCGUAGUUGAACUUUGGGCGGGGGUUGGGGAUGGCGACCUUCGAAAGAGGGAUGCUGUGCCUGCGCCGUCAAAAUGGAGGGGAGAUUCUCGCCGCGGGCGGGUAACUGUUUGCUGAGUAUUCGAGAGCCCCUUGGUUUACUUUGAAUAAAACAGGGCGUUUAAUGCAAGCGGGAUUCGCUGUGAAUGUUUGAGCAUGGAAUAAUGGAACACGACACUGGUGGUGUUUUGUUGGUUUUAACGGCCAGAGUAAUGGUUGAUAGGAACAGUUGGGGGCAUUUGUAUUUCGUUGUCAGAGGUGAAAUUCUUUAAUUAACGAAAGACAAACGACUGCGAAAGCAUCUGCCAGGGAUGUUUUCAUUAAUCAAGAACGAAAGUUGGGGGAUCGAAGAUGAUCAGAUACCGUCGUAGUCUCAACUAUAAACAUGCCGGCCAGGGAUCGCGCGCGGUCGGAACGACGCGGGCGGGACCUUUGGAGAAAUCAGAGCGUUUGGGUUCUGGGGGGAGUAUGGUCGCAAGAUUGAAACUUAAAGGAAUUGACGGAAGGGCACCACCAGGAGUGGAGCCUGCGGCUUAAUUUGACCCAACACGGGGAAACUCACCAGGUCCAGACAGAGGAAGGAUUGACAGAUUGAGAGCUCUUUCUUGAUUCUAUGGGUGGUGGUGCAUGGCCGUUCUUAGUUGGUGGAGUGAUUUGUCUGGUUGAUUCCGUUAACGAACGAGACCUCAGCGUGCUAAAUAGAUACGGUGUGAGGAAAUGCACGCCGGGUAUCUUCUUAGAGGGACUUUUCUCGUCUAGAGAAAGGAAGUUUGAGGCGAUAACAGGUCUGUGAUGCCCUCUGAUGUCCUGGGCCGCACGCGCGCUACACUGGCGGAGGCAGCGAGUAAAAGGGUAACACCGGGCCUGCUUCGAAAGGAGCGGGUAAUCUCUGAAACUCCGCCGUGAUGGGGAUUGACUAUUGUAAUUAUUAGUCAUGAACGAGGAAUUCCUAGUAGGGACAGGUCAUCAGCCUGUGCCGAUUGCGUCCCUGCCCUUUGUACACACCGCCCGUCGCUCCUACCGAUUGGAUGCUCCGGUGAAAUCUUGGGAUUGGGGGUGUCCGCCCGCGAGGGGGGGCGCUUCCGAGAACUUGCUUAAAUCUUAGCAUCU